ACAGUCACACCAUGUGCACAGCCGAGAGGCAAGUUUUUACACCAUUUCUCACCAACGCAUGGCAUCUCUGCUUUCUGAGUGUGACCACGGGAGUGUGAGCCAGAAUGAAGAUGGGAAUUAAAAUGAGGAGAGGACGACCCACUUUACUGAGCACUUAUUAUGUGCCAGGUACUGUGCUAGGAGUACAAGUCGGACAUGCCUGGGCCACAGCCUGGGUACCCCAUCCUACCAAUGGUGCUGGAACCUGCGGGUGGACUGCAUCGGGCCCUCUACUACCCUUACUACAAGAGGUGAAGACAUAUCUGGUAUCAUCUCCCAGGGCAUCAGAAGAACUAAAGCAGGACCUGCGUCUUGUACAUCAAGGUGACCAUAAGGUCCAAGGCCAAGAAUAUCAAAAGCACUCAAGAUCGUGUGCCAAUUCAUGUUUACAAGCCUUUGAUCCCUGUGCUCCAAACUCUGGAUGGUGUCACAGUUCAAAGAACUGAGUCCAGUUCACAAGAGUCAUUUCAAAAAGAUUUUAGUGAUAUAUUUCAAUUUGUAAUACUGUAAGAGUCUUUGCCAAGCACAGAAUACCUCUUUACCCCCCUCUUUUCCUGCCAUCUAUGUUUAAUGCAGUUAAUUAAAAAUUGUUUAUCAAUAUCAACUACACACUAAACAAGGCUCCUUGGACCACAGAUAUGGGACACACGAUUUCAUGGUCAGGACAAUCUCUGCCACAACAAAGUCCCCCAGACAAAUAUCCAACCCUGACCUGUGUGCCUCCUGUCAUCCUUUCUUUUCCCUUUCCCUCUAGUUCUUUAUUAUAAAGCCAAAAGAUUAGCCCAGUGACAAGUCAGACUGUUCCAGGAAGGCAGCAGAGAGAAAAAGCUGGGAAUCCUCACGCAUAAUUAUUUAAUCCCAUAACAAAACUACAAUGCAUCUUGAUUAUGAUGUUGUGUUUUGAAGCCCUCAAUCAGAAUUCAAACAAACUCCCAUCCCUUUUGAGAAAUGAAAGAGUAGCCACUAACCCUCAGGCAGAGAAGGAAAUGAGAAGUUUGACAAGAAUGUAAAAACCACUGCCACCAUUUAUAAUUGGAUGUUCCUUGUAGCAGGUCAUUUGUGGCAUGCGUACUGUGGGUACACUUUUCCCCUUCUUAAGGAUGACAGUUCUGUAUGAUCAGAGCCUAGAUGCAAGUUGUACUGAACAGGGAUGUAUUUGUUUGCUAUUGCUGCAUAACAAAUUACUAUAAACUUAGGUGCUUAAAGUGACACUAGUUUAUCAUUUCACAGGUUAUUGAACUGGCUUCUCUGUUCAAGGGCUCACUAGGCCAAAAUCAAGGUGUCAUUCAGGGCUGUGAGCCCGUCUAGUACUCAAGAGCCUCUUUUGAGCUCACAAGGUUGUGACUGAAUUCAUUUCCUUGCUGGCUGUAGGACUGAGGUCCUUGUUUUAUAUCUAGGUGGCAGUUGAGGGUCUAUCACAACUCCUGCAGAUCCCAGUGGUUCUUGCCAUGUGGCCUCUCAUGGGCCCUCUCAGAACAUGACAACUGACUCCUUCAAAGCCAGCAGGACAGUCUCUGACCUCGGGGAGGGCCCUAGUCCCUCUUUUAGAGGGCUCACUUAAUUGGGUUGGACCACUAAAAUAAUCUCUCUUUUAAUUCACUCAAAGUCAACUGAUUAGAGACCUUAAUCACAUCUUUAAAAUGUCUCCACCUCUGCUAUAUAACUGCAAGAUAAUCUCAGGGGUGCUAUGCCAUCACAUUCACAGGUCUUACCCAUUCUCAAAGAGGGGAGAUUUUAUGGGAUGUGUACCCCAAGAAGCAAGAAUCCUGGGGGUCAUCUUAGAAUUCUGCCUACAACAUGGGAGGGACCACCACGAUGGAACUGGCAACAAUUAAUCCCAAACUACUACAUGUGAGUGUGUGUGUGUGUAUGUGUGUGUGUGUGUGUGUGUGUGAGAGAGAGAGACACAAUCAUAAACUCAGGAACUUGGAACUGAAGAUGGGCUCCCUAAAAGUGUAAAAUCCCAUACUUAAGAUCCACAACUAUCACAUAGAAUAUUUAUUGUUUAUUUAUCAGGACAAUUCUGCAAUAGCACAUGCAUUUAAGGCUUUCACUCCCUAAAACCAAGUGAAAUCUUGAGAUAAUUCCAGUGAUAAGGACAGGAGCCCAGAUGUGCCUUUCAGCAAUGACUUUCUCUCACCUGGAAAACUACAAAGUGAAUUUGAAACCACUGGUAACACCGUGGCAGUCACAUGGAUAAGAUUUUUUUUAAAAAAGGAAGAAGAGAAACAUCAGGAGCCUUUAAGCUGUUUUCUAAAUUUGACAUCAGCAGAAUAUUUAUGUUGGCAGUAUCCUGUAAAUCGCAGCAGGAGAUUUGACAGGAGGCACUCUAUGCAUAACCCAUGUGAGCCCCAGAUCAAGAAGAGAGUAUUUGCAUAAACCGAAUCCUAGAGACCAUGUCAUCGCGAUCGUUCUCUUCCUCCUUCCUCCCUCUCCACCCUGCAAGCUAGUGGGGUUGAGUUUCCUGGGCUACCUUCCAUGAACAUCAAGGAAUGCAACAGAGAUGAAUGUUACAUUGACACCAGCAGAGCUACCACAGAAAACUGUUUGUCCACCCUUUUCAUUUCUCAGUACCAGCAAGCAUCUGAAGACUUUGCACCUGUUCUAGUUAGCCCUGGCAAAUGCAGCCUGUAUUUAUAUUAAUAGAAUGAUGUUUUCAUAACAAAAUGGAUGUGCAGCGAUCACGGACUCAUGCUGGAUGCUCUCAUAAGCGCCCAGAUCGGGGGAGGGGCAGCUCUUACAUAAAGCCCCAUGGCAAGGGGGAAAGACGCGCAAAGCCCACGCUGAAUCAUCGGACAGGUUGAGAACUUGUUCAGGAAUGGCCCGACUCGUGUAUUGGAAAUUAAAUUAGAUUCUCGAUUAAGAGGAAAAUACGCUGGAGAGAAAUGGGCUUUGCAAGGGCAGUUCGGGGCUCUGAACUCUUUUGUAUUCCGUCUCCUGUUUCUGUAAUGUGUGUCUUAUCUCCCCAGAGGGGAGCAGAAAACUGGUGAGAUCAUACUUGGCUCAAUUCCUGAAAGUUUGUUUUGAGUCACCAGUGUAAAUAUGGCCCACCCAAUCUGUACAUUUGCACAAAUUAACUGAAACCAGCUACCCAAUUCCUACUUCACUUUUGGAUCUGUUGAUUAACCCUGACAGCUGUAACCUCAUUAGUCCAAGCUCUGGCCGUUCCAGAGCAGCUGUCAAAUUAGGAAGAAGUGGACUCACUGAAGUCGCCUAUGGACCAGGCACGUUAAAAUCAAUAGACGCUCUAAAAGGUUUCAGUUUAUGAUUCUAAUUCUAAUGUAUGUGAUGCGGUGGGCUUUUCACCCAGAUCCGUAAUAUGGGCCUGAAAUCGGUUCUUUACGGAGAAACCAGAGGCUCUAUCACAAGGCAAGAACAUAGGUUUUAUCUGGAGAGUUUGGAUCUGUAUCAGUUGAAAAUGGGUUUUUAGCAUGCAUUAUAACACAGACAUUUUAAUAUAUUUGAAAAUAUUAGUUCCUAAUGUAUUUUUUGGCAUGAGAGAUUUUGUUAGUUUUGACAAGAGGCCAACAAAGUCUUGACUACAGAAAUAAGAAAAAUCUUACAGCUGGCCCUCAAUGGAAAAGUAGAGUUAAAAAGUGAGGAAAGGACUAAAACACACUCCAAUAGGAAUGCGGUUUCCCAAAAUAGAACACGGAUCCCUUCUGUAAGAAUCUCUAAGGAAGGAGUAGGGAGGGAAAUUCCCAAUGUCUUUUCUUUAAAAUCUGAAGGGCCAGGGAAGGAGAUGACUUUCCAUCCACCAAAGUGUUGCCAAGAACAGUGGAAACAGGUCAAAUGCAGUGUGUGAACUUCUCUUGCAGCAUUUUCAUUGUGGGGAGAUAGCACAGGGGAGCCGAAGAAGUUCUGAAGGAAGAAUCUGGAGACUUCAGUUCUGAUCCCAGUACUGUCCCAGUUCUGCCAAGUCCACCAGUGCGUGUUUGAACAAGUUCCUUCACCUCUCUAGAUCUCAGUAGACUCCGUUUAUAAAAUGAGGUUUUCCAGAUGAGUGAAAUGAUCCCUCUAUCUUUAAUGACUGUGGACUCUUUGCACAAAUCAUGAGAAGCUUCUCCUCCAUGGCCCAAGGUGGAUCUAGAGCUACCGAUCACGUUUCUCGAAGCAAAAACGUAUUAUACAUGCUAUGAAGAAUUUCUGAGUGGUUCUUAAAAAUGUAUGCCAGAGUGCUCAAUAAUCUGCAUAUUUUGCCCUGGGAGGUCAAAUUUGCUAAUGACAUCUGAUUAUUUCAAUGCCAACGUACCCUAAACUGAGUAAAACCCAUUUCCAUAAUGAAUAUGGUUCUGUGGCCUCUUCUUCCCAGAUUUCCAGGGUUACGCAGGUACGUAAAGAAGCUCUGAUAUGUUCUUCCCCACCAGCCCUUUUAAGUUGUUAAAUGAAUAGUGAGUGGUCCGAAGCAAAUAGAGUAGUCCUUAUACUUUAGCUUUGAUUGCUAUUUGCUAAGCAAAUAGAGUAGUCCUUAUGCUUUAGUUUUGAUUGCUAAGUGGCUAAUCCCAGAAUGCUCUUGAAAAGGAAAUGAUCAUGUCCCCAAGCUAUUUGAGAGACUGGCCUGGGUAUCAUGAAACACCCCCAAUCAUUCCCAGGAACUGAACUGAGGAAGCACCUGACCAAGGACAACCACACCUGUCAAUGACAUUUUGACAUGUUCCAGGUUAAAGAAAAGAAAAGACAGUUGGGGUCAAUCAGAUUCCUUUUCUCCAUGAUUUUAAGUAGGAAAUACCCAGACAGCAGUGAGGCCAGUUACAUACAUACAGAAAUGGCACUGUGACGGCAUGGGUCAUGACUUGCCAAAGCCACGUGCAAACCAAAGUAAUGGUCAGCCAAGCGGAGCAAUUAGCAUGAAAAAGAACAGAGUGGUUGCCCAGCUGGAACAGAGAUGCUUCAGUGAGGCUGUAAAGCCUGAGGGAAGCCUCCUAAUGAGUCUCAGAAUCACCUUCUUUCCACCUCACUUCAUUCAGUUUCGGACCAGGUAUGGCUUCCCACCAAUUUCCCAAAAGGAGAACACUUUUGCGACUUUCUUAGUAGUAAAAAUAAGAUAUCAUGAAACAAACAAAAUAUUUAAAUGCAAUAAAGGUUUUGAAAAAACAGUGUAGUACUAAUAAUGUUUUAUUAAAUAGUUAUUAGACUUCUCUUUACAUAUAUAUUAGUAUUCACAUGUGAUUUUUUCACGGCUGGUUUGUAGCUUGCAUUUUUUAACUUAAAUGUCAUGAACACAUUUCCGUGCUCAUAAAUAUAACUUUGUAAUAUUACUUCUAAUGGCUCCUGGUAUUCCAUCGUACCCAUAUACCGUAACCUCUAACAGAAACACCUUCAUGAUAGACAUUUAUAUUGUUUCCAAUUUUACUCCAUGAUAAGUAAUGUGGCAAUAAAUCUACUUGAACAUUCUAAAUAUCUUGUAAUCUAUUUUUCCUUAAUUGUAUAAGUAUUUUCUUAAGUUUUCUAAAGUGGAAUUAUUAAGACAAAUGGUAUGUGUAUUUUUGAUUCAGAGCAAAUUGUAUUUUAUAAGAUACCAAUUUUUUGCAAACCAUUGUUAACAAAAAGAACUGACCUUUUCCACUCAAAUAAGGUAAAGAAUACCAUCUCAUUCCUGUUUCAAUUUUUUAAUUAUUAUUAUUGAUAGUCCUUGACCAUUUGUAUAUCUCCUCUUGUAAAAUAUUUGUUCAUAAACUUUUUUUUUGCUAUUAAAAUACUGAGAUGUAAAUUGAUUUAAGGAAUCCUUUAUAUAAUAAGGUCAUUAAUACUUCACCUAGCAUAGAUGUUGCAAAUGUUUUCCUAGUAAGUUAUUUGCCUUUUAAGUUGUUUAUAGUCAAAAAUUGAAAAUAUUUUACACUCUUACAACAUUUUACUUUAUGAUUCCUGGUUUUCUUGGCAUACUUGAAAUGGUCUUCCAAAAAAUAUAAAAAUAUUCAUUUUAGUUUUGUUUUAGGAUGUUUAUGGAUUCACUGUUUAUGUGUGUGUAUAUAUAUACAUAUAUAUAUAUAUAUAGUCCAUCUGGAAUUUAUUCUGCCAUGAUUAAACUAAAUACUCAACUUAUGGAGUUAUCCCAGGACCACUUAUUGAAUAAUGUAUUGUUUUUCCUCUGGCUGACUUAAAAUGGUAUUUUUAUCAUGUUAAGUUCCAUGAUACAUUGGAGAAACUGGAUAUUUUUACAUUUUUACAAAUGGUAAAGCAGUUUGAUGCUAGAAUUAUAAAGGCUUAUGUUAACACUGACUGUGUAAUUUUGGACAAGUUACUAAAUCUAUUGUCUAAGCCUCAGUUUCCUUGUCUAAAAUGUGGAGAUAAUACGAAUUAAGUGAUUUAAAAGUAUACAGAAUACUUAGCCAGGCAUUUGUUAUUAAGGAAAUUUCAAUAAAAUUAUUUACUAGC
RNAcentral lists this long non-coding RNA (6414 nucleotides) under Sus scrofa (pig). RNAcentral's name for it is "lncRNA (ENSSSCG00060071824.1)". The record is from RNAcentral. Lineage: Eukaryota; Metazoa; Chordata; Mammalia; Artiodactyla; Suidae.